Molecule: long non-coding RNA, 822 nt
Organism: Oreochromis aureus
Lineage: Eukaryota; Metazoa; Chordata; Actinopteri; Cichliformes; Cichlidae
Exons: 3
Source: RefSeq, a predicted model, not a curated record
AGACAGCGGGUCUGGACCAGCGCAGACACGCUGCUGGACCGGAUGCGCUGCCUACACCCAGCUCCUCGUCAGUCCGGACUAAUAAUCAGACCUUUCAAGCACUUCCUCACAGCGCCAGAAUUGUGUUGUUUGUGUCACUGAGGAGUGUGGAACGAGAGAGAGGGAGUGCAGAGACACAGGAGCAACAGGGGACUUUUUGGGAAGAAGACACGACACGGGAGUAAAGGGAGAGGACGGGGAUUUUUUGUCAUUUUCGCACUGUAAAUAAACGCACCGCUUGCAGUGAAGAGUCCAGCGUUCUGGGUCCUCCUUUCCCCCACAUCCCCACGGCUUGCCUUGGCAAACUGUGACAAUCCCAACAACCACAAACUCUGGGAAGUCUUGGACUUGAGAAGACGCAGUAAAGAAAUAUUUCAAAGAGUGGGUCACUGUAAGAAACAGUUUGUGUAUAAUUAUUUUACUUGAUAAGCUGUAGCGAUAAAAGGUUUUAACUCUUUAUGAAAAUGAAAAUGGUAUUUUGUGGCGAAAAUAAAAGUUUUGGUUACAGCCACUAAAUUACAAACAGACCCCCUGACUGAUGUCAAUUACAGCUGUUGGAUCGUUUAGAAAGACGGCAGGUUCACUUAUAAAAAGAUGUGCAAUGAGCAAUUUAAAAAAAUAGCUAAGUUCAAAAUAUAAACAUCAUUUCUCAUCUUCUAAUGCAAAAUGCUAAUUAUUGGGAAUUAGCAUGAAAUGCAGGAUUUGUUUGUUUCAUGCAUUUAUGUAUUCACCUCACACAUGAACAAUCCCCAGUUCAAGACCAGGAGGAGACACAAACCCAGA